This 70-nucleotide transfer RNA is filed under the name Acidobacteriota bacterium. RNAcentral describes it as "tRNA-OTHER". The record is from RNAcentral. Lineage: Bacteria; Pseudomonadati; Acidobacteriota.
UGGCUCGUAAUAGCAGAGCACCGCACUGUGGCUGCGGCCAGUGAGUGUUCAACUCCCUUCGAGCCACCCA